UCAGGGGCACUGUCAGGAGGAGUCUGGGGAGGACACCUCCAGUGUGGCUUUAGGUGCUGCCUGGAGAAAGGGUUUGGAUUUAGAAUCAAAGAAUUCCCAUUGUUUAGGCCCUGCUUUAUCCAAGCAACUGGAACUUUUUAUGUCCCUUUGCAGAUGAGCAGAAUUUCCUUAAAGGAACGAGAUGGCCCCCGACUGGAGCAAACAGCCAGCCCUGCUUUUUCUUCUGGUUGUCCCUGUUCAGGAGGGACUUGUAUCAGAAACAGCAGUGUCAUUUCUGCUCGUCAGCCACCCCAGUGAGUGAGUUCUCAUCAGCUCAAGUGACAGCAAACACAGGUGCUUCUCUGCUUUUUCUGUGGAGGCCGUGCGAGUUAAGCAGCCAUCUCCCACGAAUAACGUCCAGGGCCAGGUCACAAACUUCCCAGAGCAGGGGACCCGUUUGCGUACAAUCCAAGCAAUUAGGAACAACGAACAGUACUUAGUAAAACCAAACAAAACCAAAAGAACCACUCCUGCUGCCGUCAACGCUCCGGCGGGAGGGAGGGGGGGGAAAAGAAAAGGUUAAGAAAAAAAGUUUGUUUGUUGGUUGGUUUGUUUGUUUGUUUAAAGAAGU
Long non-coding RNA from Pseudopipra pipra, 610 nucleotides. RefSeq lists it as uncharacterized. Lineage: Eukaryota; Metazoa; Chordata; Aves; Passeriformes; Pipridae. The transcript is spliced from 3 exons. The record is from RefSeq and is a predicted model, not a curated record.